CUUCCGUGCCAUCCCUCAGGUUCUGCAGGGCACUGGCCACUUCUGCACAGCCAGGCCUUCCCACCCUACCCCCGAGAUUCACACAGCAGGGUCCACUCCCUCCCAGGCUUGGCUUCCCCAGGCUGAGGGCUGGGCAUUGGCACCCUUCCACAGACCACAUGAGUCAGCUCCCUCCCCACCCAACAAGGCCAGUGCUGGCUCUGUCUGAGGUCCCUUUGUUCAGGUCUCUUCUGAAGAAAGGCACCAGAGGCUCCAGCUCUGGCCAUAAUGCCCCAGAUGAAGCUUGACAGGAGAACUGGACACAACAGGCCAGAAUAUGCAUUCCAGGAGAGCAGGGAUAUUUGUUUUGUUCCCCGAUGUAUCCCCUGGAUCUAGCACAGGACUGGCAGGUUUCCCUAGGAUCACCAGCUGUCAUGGACUGAUUUGUGUCUCUCCAAAUUCAUAUGUUGAAUACUUAACCUGCCAUGCGAUUGUGAUUGGAGAUAAUUCCUUUAGGGAAGCAAUGAAGGUUAAAUGAGGUCAUAGGUGGGAGCUUAAUCCAAUGGGACUGGGGUCCCUACAAGAAGAGGAAGACACCAGAGCUCUCUGUCUCCACACACAGAGAAAAGAGGCUGUAUGAGGACACAAGAGAAGGUAAUAGCUGUCUACAAACCAAGAAGAGAAGCCUCUCCAGAAAAUGAACCCUGCUGGAACUUGGUCUUGGACUUUCCAGCCUCCAGAACUGGGAGAAAAUAAAGUUCAAAAUAAAGUUCUGUUGUGUAAGCCCCCGAGUCCAUGGUAUUUUGUUAUGGCAGCCCUAGCAGACUAAUAACACCUGCUAAUUAAACUGCUUGUUCUCCACUUGUUGUCUCAGGGUCUGUUCCUAGGGAACCUGGACUCAGACAGAUGCUCUGCUUAAUUAGACCCCAGGGAAAUGUAAAUGAAAACCACGUGUGAUGCCAUGUCACAAGUACUAGGAUAACCAGAAGGAAAUCUGACCACAUCGGAUGCUGGUGAGGUUGGGAAGCUGUCAUAUUUAGCUGACGGAGGUGUGAGUCGGCAAACCACUUUGGAAAAC
RNAcentral lists this long non-coding RNA (1057 nucleotides) under Homo sapiens (human). RNAcentral's name for it is "HSALNT0005627". The record is from RNAcentral. Lineage: Eukaryota; Metazoa; Chordata; Mammalia; Primates; Hominidae.